UUUCUUUCCCCUUCCCUCUGUUUCCUUUCUUUCUCCUUCUCUCUCUAUUUCUCUUCCACUUUCAUUCUUUCUUUCUUUCUCCUUCUACUGUCUCCUCCUUUCUCUCCCACUUUCACCUUUUCCCUCUUUUUCUCUCCCUCCCUCUGUUCCCUCUUUCCGUCCUCCUUUUUCUCUCUUCCCAUCUCAAUCUUUCUUUCUCCCUCUUUUCAUCUCCCUUUUUCUUUUUCCUUCUUUUUUCUUUGUCCCUCCUUCCAUUCCCUAUUUCCAUCUCCCUUUUUUCUUUCUUUUCUUGCUUUCUUUCUCCUUCCCUCUGUCCCCUCUUUCAGUCUCCCUUUCUUUCUUUCUUUCUCCUUCUUUCUCUCCUACUUUCUCUCCUACUUUCAUCCUUUCCCUCUUUUUCUCUCCCUUUGUCUGUUUCCUUUUUCCAUCCUCCUUUUUCUCUCUUCCCAUCUCAAUAUUUCUUUCUCCCUCUUCAUCUCCCUUUUUUCUUUUUUUCUUCUCCCUCUCUUUCUCCAUCUCCUUUUUUCUUUUUCCUUUUUUCUUUCUCCCUCCUUCCAUUCCCUAUUUCCAUCUCCCUUUUUUCUUUCUUUUCUUGCUUUCUUUCCUUCCCUCUGUUCCCUCUUUCAAUCUUUCUUUCUUUCUCCCACUACCUUCCCCUUAUUCUUUUCUUUCUCCUUCUCUCCCUCCAUCUGUUCCCUCUUUCCAUCCUCCUUUCUUUUCCCAUCUCCCUCUUUCUUUGUAUGUUUCUUUCUCCUUCCCAUUCCCUCUUUCCAUCUCCCUCCUUCUUUUUUGUUCCAUCUCCCUUUCUCUUUCUUUUUCUUUUCUUCUUUUAUUUAUUUAUUUUCUUGCUUUUUUCUACCUCUUUCUCUCGCACUGCCUCCCCCUUUUUCUUUCCCUCCUCUUGCGCUCUCCCCCUUUCUUUUUCUAUUUUUCUCUCUCUUUCUCCCCGUUUAUUCUGUUCUGUUGUCCUUUAUCUCUCCUUUCUUCCUUUUCCUCGCUCUUUCUUUUUCUCUUUCUUCCUCCUUUUUUCUCUCUGUCCCCAAAAAUGUCAUCUGCUCCCUCUUUUUCUGUCUCCCUCUUUGUCCCUCUCUCUUUUUAAUAACUCUGCCAGUCUAACAGAUUAUUUUAUGAACAUUUAAUUCCACGUUAAGGGACAAUAAACGACUGGAUUUAAGGAGGAGAAAGUGUGAAUUUAAUUGUGGUUCUUUAUUUAUAAUGAAAUGUAGGGUCGCCCUCUUUCC
RNAcentral lists this long non-coding RNA (1241 nucleotides) under Astyanax mexicanus (Mexican tetra). Its description in RNAcentral is "lncRNA (ENSAMXG00005002900.1)". Lineage: Eukaryota; Metazoa; Chordata; Actinopteri; Characiformes; Acestrorhamphidae. The record is from RNAcentral.